RNAcentral lists this unclassified non-coding RNA (253 nucleotides) under uncultured Chlamydiales bacterium. RNAcentral describes it as "contains 16S-23S intergenic spacer region". It matches the Rfam family "Bacterial small subunit ribosomal RNA", at positions 524 to 776 of the family's 1533-position model. The record is from RNAcentral. Lineage: Bacteria; Pseudomonadati; Chlamydiota; Chlamydiia; Chlamydiales.
UACGGAGGGUGCAAGCAUUAAUCGGAUUUAUUGGGCGUAAAGGGCAUGUAGGCGGGAAGGAAAGUCAGAUGUGAAAGACCGGGGCUCAACUCCGGAAACGCAUUUGAAACUCCCUUUCUAGAGGGUAGACGGCGGAAACGGAAUUCUGUGUGUAGCGGUGAAAUGCGUAGAUAUACAGAAGAACACCCGUGGCGAAGGCGGUUUCCGAGUCUACACCUGACGCUGAGGUGCGAAAGCAAGGGGAGCAAACAGG